RNAcentral lists this ribosomal RNA (441 nucleotides) under uncultured bacterium. RNAcentral describes it as "bacterial SSU rRNA". It matches the Rfam family "Bacterial small subunit ribosomal RNA", at positions 340 to 774 of the family's 1533-position model. The record is from RNAcentral.
UACGGGAGGCAGCAGUGGGGAAUAUUGCACAAUGGGCGCAAGCCUGAUGCAGCCAUGCCGCGUGUAUGAAAAAGGCCUUCGGGUUGUAAAGUACUUUCAGUCGUGAGGAAGGUGUUAAGGUUAAUAACCUUAGCAAUUGACGUUAGCGACAGAAGAAGCACCGGCUAACUCCGUGCCAGCAGCCGCGGUAAUACGGAGGGUGCGAGCGUUAAUCGGAAUUACUGGGCGUAAAGGGCACGCAGGCGGUUAAUUAAGUUGGAUGUGAAAUCCCCGGGCUUAACCUGGGAAUGGCAUUCAAGACUGGUUAGCUAGAGUCUUGUAGAGGGGGUAGAAUUCCGAUGUGUAGCGGUGAAAUGCGUAGAGAUGUGGAGGAAUACCGGUGGCGAAGGCGGCCCCUGGACAAAGACUGACGCUCAUGUGCGAAAGCGUGGGGAGCAAACG